AACGAACGCUGGCGGCAUGCCUAACACAUGCAAGUCGAACGAGACCUUCGGGUCUAGUGGCGCACGGGUGCGUAACGCGUGGGAACCUGCCCUUAGGUUCGGAAUAACUCCCCGAAAGGGGUGCUAAUACCGGAUAAUGUCUUCGGACCAAAGAUUUAUCGCCUUUGGAUGGGCCCGCGUUGGAUUAGCUAGUUGGUAGGGUAAAAGCCUACCAAGGCGACGAUCCAUAGCUGGUCUGAGAGGAUGAUCAGCCACACUGGGACUGAGACACGGCCCAGACCCCUACGGGAGGCAGGAGUGGGGAAUAUUGGACAAUGGGCGAAAGCCUGAUCCAGCAAUGCCGCGUGAGUGAUGAAGGCCUUAGGGUUGUAAAGCUCUUUUACCCGGGAUGAUAAUGACAGUACCGGGAGAAUAAGCUCCGGCUAACUCCGUG
Molecule: ribosomal RNA, 433 nt
Filed under: uncultured bacterium
Lineage: Bacteria
Description: partial 16S ribosomal RNA
Rfam family: Bacterial small subunit ribosomal RNA
Source: RNAcentral